Cervus elaphus (red deer) is the source of this 5646-nucleotide long non-coding RNA. RefSeq lists it as uncharacterized. Lineage: Eukaryota; Metazoa; Chordata; Mammalia; Artiodactyla; Cervidae. The transcript is spliced from 6 exons. The record is from RefSeq and is a predicted model, not a curated record.
CCCGCAGGGUGCUGGGGCUGGGAGGCGAAAGUUCACCCGGUCAGGGGAGUCCAACCAGUCUCCCAGCAUGGCCUUUGGGAAGGGACGAGGCCUGCCCACGAUCCCCUAAUUUUAUAAACAUCCCAGCCUGGAACCAGAUUCUGAUAUGAAGCAGUGAGCAAUGCAGUGAUUCCAUAAGCCUGGAAAUUAGCAUAAUCAGAAUAUAAAUUUUUUAAAGCCACGUCCUGGCAUAUCGACCCUAUCCUUGGGGAAGCUGUCUCUGGUUGCCGUAUAUAAGGGGGCACAAGUUCAAUCCUUGUUCCAAAAAAGAAGAUCUCAUGUGCUGCUUGGCAGAGACCAAACAAACAAACAAAAAAACAGGUUCAAUAGCAGCAGAGGAGAGGAGGUCUGCAAUCUUAAACUUGCUUUUCCAGGAGACUGCCAACAAGCACAGCCAGCUCUCAAGCUGUAUUGCGCAAAGAUUUGCAGCCCACAAAGAUCGGGAGUUUUUUUCAAAGGACCUCUUAAGUGAGCAACUGAGAUCUCAAAAAGUUCACCAAGACCUCCAGGAUCCAUCAUCUUCCUCAUCCUGAGUGCUGCUCCUGUUACUGCUGCUUCUCUGACCAGCCAGCCAGGAGGUGGUCAGCAGACAACAUACCCAAAGACUGGCUCCUCCAGUUGGAGAAAUGACCUUACUUCAAGGUGAUUCAGGGAGUGAAGGUCAAGCCCCAGAUGAGCUGUUUCUACAGUGGAAGCCCAUUAUUCAAGCCUUAUCUUCAUCUGUAAAUUGUGAAUACUAUUCAUAUCUACUUGAUUCAAGGUUCAGCUGAAAUGACACCUGUGAAACUUCUUCCCCAGAACCAUCUUAGCAAAUGUAUAAAAUGCUGCAUAAAUAUUAGUUGUUCCAUAUGGAGGAUAUUUGAAUCUCAUUCGUCCCAACCCUCUGGUCUCUAUCAGGUAAACUGGGUCUGCUGACAGAGCAUGAAUAUUAAGAAACAUACAAAAAUGCAGCCCACCCAUUUGGACCUACUGCUGCAUCUUGUUCUCUAACCACUUGGUUUCCUAGCAAAGAUCUCAUUAACCCACUGAAACCCUUCUUUGAUGGGCAUUCGGACAGGUACUUCCCUCAGCAGUCUCUCCUUAGAUAGCCUUUAAUGAUAUCCCUCAUAUUCCACACAUUAUAUAGUGUUAGGCAAGAGGCACUCCUAUCUUCUUCCUUGCUCUGUUACAGGCUGGGCUGAUCCCAGACAACGGCUCAGUGGAAGGUUGAUGGGACAAAUAUGUACCUUAUCAGAUAUCCAAUGAAGAAGAGAAUUUAAGUAAAUAAACCUGUUCGGUAAAUACAGUACACAAGACUUCCCUGGUGGUACAGUGGGAAGGAAUCCCUUGCCAGUGCAGGGGACCAAGGUUUGAUCCCUGGAUCGGGAACAUCCCCUGGAGAAGGAAAUGGCAACCUGCUCCAGCAGUCUUGCCUGGGAAAUCCCAUGGACAGAGGACCCUGGGGCGCCACAGUCCACGGGGUUGCAAAAGAGUUAGACACGACGUAGUGAGUAAACAACAAAAACAGCUCCACAUUAACUGGUACAAUGCUAAGAAUUUUACAGAUGCUCAAUUAAUAUUUGUUGAUAAGACCACUAAACAUCCUUGCUUUCCUCAAAUCUUUGCACAUUUGAGUUUGUCUGGGUUCUGAAGUUCAUCUCAAAAUAUUUUCUCUGAAUACAAGGAAGCACAUUGUGAGGUCUUUUGAAACUGAGAACUUGUCAACCUUUUUUUUUCUUUAUAUCCAUAGACUUCCUAGAACAACUUCUUAAAAAGUCUAUAGAUAGUCUCUUUUACUUAAAAAUUUUAUUGUGACAAAAUAUAUAUCACAUUAAAUUUACCACUUUAACCAUUUUUAAGUGCACAAUUCAGUGGCAUUAAUUACAUUUGCAAUGUUGUGUCACUUUUUUUGUCAGCUGAAUAGAAUUCCUAAUAUGUUUGUGACAGAGACGGAUGAAGUGUUAGCUAAGAAACAAUUGUAGUGAGCUUUAAGAACAUUUCAUAAUCACAAAAUACUUAUCAGAGGACACAAAUACGUACAACAUAUGAAUUGAGUAGGUCCUGAGCCCCAUCCCAUGGAGUUAGGAAAUCCCCAUAACUGUUGUGCAAUGUGCAGCAUCAGAUCUUCGUUGGAACAGGAUCGUCUUAUGUCAGGCCAACAAAAACUUGGCAUUGAUGCAUAAUUAAUGAACUGAGAAAUGUAUUAAUGAGAUUUCUCUCUAAUUAAUGUUUCCCCAAUAUCUGGCAUGAAAGCAAAGCUGCAUUAAUUAGUAGAGUGGGUGUUUGUCUCUGUGUGUGUAUGUGUGAUUGUUUGUGGAUGUUGUGCAUCUGUGGUUAUAGUCUGACAUAUUUCAUUUGCAGUGUUUUUCCUUCCUGACUCUUAUUCUCCUUCCUCAUUUGCGCCCCCUCAUCACUCCUUUUGUUUAUCUCAGGACUGCCAUUAUGUUUUUGUGUGUGGAUAGGGGGAAGGAGUGACAGAUUGAACAAUUCCAUUUUUAGAUGGAUGUCAGCAUACAUGAAUUCAUCAAUAUUUCAUAAUCUAGGUGGUGAAAGCCCCUCCUUUUCUUAGAGCAAAGAGGACAUUAUGCUCUGUGUGUGCAGCUUAACUACCAUUAAUGUUAAUUAAAUCAUGCAGGCAAAGCCCCUUUCUUGAGUUGAUAACAUGCUUUAGUGUACAUCAUCGUCAAUUGUAAGUCAACUCUUAAUCAUCUUGGGUAGCAGGAGAGAUAAAUCCCCCUGCUGAGCAAAAGCACCUCAUGCAGGGAUUAUUGGCCAACAUUAGGAUCUGAACUUAAAAUUGUAACUCUUUCCUUUCCUUCGAACUUCUACUAUUGUUAGUUAAGUCAAAAAUUCCCCCAGGAAAUGAACAAAUACGAGUGUGUAUGUGUUUAUAAGCAGUGUGUGGGGUGCAGGGAGAAAGCAGAGAUAAAGGAACAUUGACGGCUAAGAGGAAGAAUAUUUUUUUAUUCAUGUUUUAGGGUUACAAAAGUACUUAAUUCAUUUUUUCAAAAUCUUGUAUUUGAAUAACAUGUCUUUGCAGAUAUAAAAGAUCUUCCAUGUGUUCUGAUAGUAUAAUGAAAUAGCCACUGCUGAAAAAUUUACUCCUUACAUGGGGUAAACAUUUCUUCACUCCACAGAUAUUCAUGAAAUGUCUUAUGUGCCAGGUCGUGACUUGCUACAAAGAUAAUUAAGACUAAGUUUUUGCUAUCAAGGAGCUCCCUGAUUAGUGGGAGAGACUGACACAUAAACAGAUACUUAAAACAUGUGAGCAAGCAGUUCAGUUCGCUAGAGCUUAAAUUCAAGCUAGAGAGUGAUGAAAGGCACGGCUGGAAAGCUAGGGGAAGGCCGAAGAGAAAGCCUUGAAUUACACAUUGUGCUAGUCAGGGCAAGAACUGCUGCCACUACAAUGGUUUGAAAUGCUGGAAGUGCUGUUCUCACUCUCAGAUCAGUUUAGUGCAAGCCAUGGCUCUAUCCAGGGCAUUGAGGCUUCCUCCAGCAUCUGCCCCAUCUGUCAACAGACUGGAGAAGAGACGAGCGAGUUAGGCCUGGGCCCGCCUCGGGGUGACACACUUCACUUCUCCCCACGGUGAUCACACGCCUCAGUUUAUGCCUGAAUUCCUAGGACAGCAAUUAACAGUGCAAGUGUCCUCUUGCACUCCCAAUAGUGUCCUAAUUUGGGCAAUACAUUGUAUGAUCACCCUAACGUCUUCCACCUCCAGGGACCAGAAUUCAAUCACAUCGUCGCACCUAACCUCAAGGGAGGCUGGGAAAUCUAUGUCAACAAGGGGAAAAGGCAGUGAAUUUUGGUGAAUGCAAGGCACUCCCCGAUGCACAUGUCAAAGCAUUAGAGAGUUAUCCUCUAUAUCCAUUGCCUUUUAAACAUUUCCUCCUAAAUACUGAUAUGUCUUUGAAACCUUAUUGCUUAUCUUAAAAAUUCAUUUGAAUUUUGGAUCCUGCUCCAUAAUAUAUUUGUGUUUUUCUUUUUAAUUAAUUAAUUAUUUUUGUCUGUGCUGGAUCUUCAUUGCUGCGCUCUGGCUUUCUUUGGCUGCAAGCAGCGGGGGCGCCUUUCGAGUGCACAGGUGCACAGGUAUCGAAUUGGGGUGGCUUCUCUUGUUGAGAGAUACAGGCUCUAGGUGCGUGGGCUUCAGUAGCUGUAGCACUCUGACUCAGCAGCUGUGGCCCAUGGACUCAGUUGCUCUGUGGCAUGUGGUAUCUUCCUGGACCAGGAAUCGAACCCGUGUCUCCUGCAUUAACAGGCAGAUUGUUGUCCACUAUACCACCAGGGAAGUCUCCCAUGUUUCUCCUAAAAUAAGAUUAAUGUGCUUCUUUCUUCAAAAAUCUUCACAGAUAAAUAAUGCUCCAGGAAUAUUUGCCAAAGUUAGUUGUUAUUUUAUUGACUCCUAGAAGAGCCAUACACCACUGAGACACACACCACUGAAUAGUCUUAGACAGAAUGACCUGGACAGAUUUUCAUUUUAAAAAGAACCCUCUGACACCUCUGUUAGUGUAGAUUCCCAGUGGCAGAUCAGAGAGACCAAUCCAGGUUUUUACAGUUAUCUGGGUGAAAGAUGAUAAGCCAUCUGAUUUAGGUUAGUGCUGGUAGAAAUUGUAGGAGAUUAAUUCAACAGGACUGAACCAAGAAAGAAUUUGACUAUGUAAAAAUUAAAUGCUUCAGUAAAAACAUAAUAAAACUGUGAAGCAAGGGGCAAACUGGGGAAAACAUUUGUGACACCUGAAUGAUAUGAAAGAUAAGGAGGUUGAUAUUCCUAAUAUUCAAAGUGGUCUUAUGACUCAAUAAGAUAAAAAACUUUCUAAUAGAAAAAAUGGAUGCAGCAAUUUAUCAAAGAAUAUAAUUGCCCUACAAAAUGUUAAAACUUCACUAACGAUCAAAAAGUAGAAAUAAAAAGACAAGAACUACUUUUCGUUACCAGAUUAGUAAAGAAAUUCUCAUCAUAGCACAUAUAUAUGUUCAAGGUUGGGCUUCCUCAGUGGUUCAGCAAUAAAGAAUCCGCCUGCAAUGAAGGAGACACAGGAGGCACAGAUUUGAUCCCUGGAUGGAGAAGAUCCCCUGGAGGAGGAAAUGGCAACCCACUCCUGUAUUCUUGCCUGGAGAAUCUCAUGGACAGAGGAGCCUGGUGGGCUGCCGUCCAUGGGGUCGAGAAAGAGUCGGAUACAAAUGAAGCAACUACGCAUACACCACACGUACAAGGUAUCAGUAUCAGUGCUAUCCUAACUGUUAAAAUUGAAAAAAAGUAUUUCUUUCGAUGAAAGAUUCGUUAAAUAAAUUACGACAUAUUCCUAUCAAUGGAAAUUAUACAACCAUUAAAAAGUGAAAAAAAUAUUGUGUAUAUCUAUGUUGAUUGAAGUAGAAAGACUUCUGUGACCUGUUAAGUAAAAAAACAGAAUGUUUCCCAACUCCUUGUGUAACAUGCCUCACUUUCUAUAAAAUUGUCUGUAUGUGUGUUCAGGAAUGUGCAUGUGUGUAUAUAGAGAGAUAUCUAUAAGGCUGUUCCACAGAAUAUUAAAACAGUGCUUAUUUCUAGGUAGUAGGGUAGGAGAUAAUUUUUAGUUAUUUUUCUCUGUCUUUUUAUAUCGUUUUUAAAUUUAAAAAUAAAUAUUAUUGUUUUA